CAUUAAGAAGCUAAACAGGGAAAAGCGUUAGCCUUUUAAGCUAAAGAAUUGGUGCCUCCCAACCACCCUUAGUGA
RNAcentral lists this transfer RNA (75 nucleotides) under Conger oceanicus (American conger). Its description in RNAcentral is "tRNA-Lys". It matches the Rfam family "tRNA". Rfam says of the family: Transfer RNA (tRNA) molecules are approximately 80 nucleotides in length. Lineage: Eukaryota; Metazoa; Chordata; Actinopteri; Anguilliformes; Congridae. The record is from RNAcentral.